UACAGAGGUCUCAAGCGUUGUUCGGAUUCAUUGGGCGUAAAGGGUGCGUAGGCGGCGCGGUAAGUCGGGUGUGAAAUCUUGGAGCUUAACUCCGAAACUGCAUUCGAUACUGCCGUGCUUGAGGACUGGAGAGGAGACUGGAAUUUACGGUGUAGCGGUGAAAUGCGUAGAUAUCGGGAGGAACACCAGUGGCGAAGGCGGUUGCCUGGGGCUUUGCUGACGCUGAUGCGCGAAAGCGUGGGGAGCGAUCCGG
This 253-nucleotide ribosomal RNA is filed under the name uncultured bacterium. Its description in RNAcentral is "partial 16S ribosomal RNA". It matches the Rfam family "Bacterial small subunit ribosomal RNA", at positions 524 to 776 of the family's 1533-position model. The record is from RNAcentral.